RNAcentral lists this ribosomal RNA (957 nucleotides) under Escovopsis cf. weberi Ae291. Its description in RNAcentral is "SSU rRNA". It matches the Rfam family "Eukaryotic small subunit ribosomal RNA", at positions 123 to 1087 of the family's 1831-position model. The record is from RNAcentral. Lineage: Eukaryota; Fungi; Ascomycota; Sordariomycetes; Hypocreales; Hypocreaceae.
GAUAAUACCUUACUACUUGGAUAACCGUGGUAAUUCUAGAGCUAAUACAUGCUAAAAAUCCCGACUUCGGAAGGGUUGUAUUUAUUAGAUUAAAAACCAAUGCCCCUCGGGGCUCUCUGGUGAAUCAUGAUAACUAGUCGAAUCGACAGGCCUUGUGCCGGCGAUGGCUCAUUCAAAUUUCUUCCCUAUCAACUUUCGAUGUUUGGGUAUUGGCCAAACAUGGUGGCAACGGGUAACGGAGGGUUAGGGCUCGACCCCGGAGAAGGAGCCUGAGAAACGGCUACUACAUCCAAGGAAGGCAGCAGGCGCGCAAAUUACCCAAUCCCGACACGGGGAGGUAGUGACAAUAAAUACUGAUACAGGGCUCUUUUGGGUCUUGUAAUCGGAAUGAGUACAAUUUAAAUCCCUUAACGAGGAACAAUUGGAGGGCAAGUCUGGUGCCAGCAGCCGCGGUAAUUCCAGCUCCAAUAGCGUAUAUUAAAGUUGUUGUGGUUAAAAAGCUCGUAGUUGAACCUUGGGCCUGGCUGGCCGGUCCGCCUCACCGCGUGCACUGGUCCGGCCGGGCCUUUCCCUCUGCGGAACCCCAUGCCCUUCACUGGGCGUGGCGGGGAAACAGGACUUUUACUUUGAAAAAAUUAGAGUGCUCAAGGCAGGCCUAUGCUCGAAUACAUUAGCAUGGAAUAAUGAAAUAGGACGUUGCGGUUCUAUUUUGUUGGUUUCUAGGACCGCCGUAAUGAUUAAUAGGGACAGUCGGGGGCAUCAGUAUUCAAUUGUCAGAGGUGAAAUUCUUGGAUUUAUUGAAGACUAACUACUGCGAAAGCAUUUGCCAAGGAUGUUUUCAUUAAUCAGGAACGAAAGUUAGGGGAUCGAAGACGAUCAGAUACCGUCGUAGUCUUAACCAUAAACUAUGCCGACUAGGGAUCGGACGAUGUUAUAUUUUUUGACGCGUUCGGCACC